CCUACGGGUGGCAGCAGUAGGGAAUUUUCGGCAAUGGGGGAAACCCUGACCGAGCAACGCCGCGUGAACGAAGAAGUUAUUCGUAAUGUAAAGUUCUUUUAACAGGGAAGAAAGAGAAAUUUGACGGUACCUGAAGAAUAAGCUCCGGCUAACUACGUGCCGGCAGCCGCGGUAAUACGUAGGGAGCGAGCGUUAUCCGGAAUUAUUGGGCGAAAAGGGUGAUUAGAUGGCAUAGUAAGUCUUUGGUAAAAAUGCUGGGCUAAACCCAGUAGGGCAAAAGAUACUGCAAAGCUAGAGUAUGAGAGAGGCAAGUGGAACUACAGGUGUAGCGGUAAAAUGCGUAAAUAUAGGUAAGAACACCAGUGGCGAAGGCGGCUUGCUGGGUCGAUACUGACACUGAGGCACGAAAGCGUGGGGAGCAAACAGGAUUAGAUACCCUUGUAGUC
RNAcentral lists this ribosomal RNA (446 nucleotides) under uncultured bacterium. RNAcentral describes it as "partial 16S ribosomal RNA". It matches the Rfam family "Bacterial small subunit ribosomal RNA", at positions 338 to 795 of the family's 1533-position model. The record is from RNAcentral.